This 253-nucleotide ribosomal RNA is filed under the name uncultured bacterium. RNAcentral describes it as "partial 16S ribosomal RNA". It matches the Rfam family "Bacterial small subunit ribosomal RNA", at positions 524 to 776 of the family's 1533-position model. The record is from RNAcentral.
UACGUAGGGUGCGAGCGUUGUCCGGAAUUACUGGGCGUAAAGGGCUCGUAGGCGGCCAACUAAGUCAUACGUGAAAUCCCUCGGCUUAACCGGGGAACUGCGUCUGAUACUGGAUGGCUUGAGUUCGGGAGAGGGAUGCGGAAUUCCAGGUGUAGCGGUGAAAUGCGUAGAUAUCUGGAGGAACACCGGUGGCGAAGGCGGCAUCCUGGACCGAUACUGACGCUGAGGAGCGAAAGCCGGGGGAGCAAACGGG